Dreissena polymorpha is the source of this 388-nucleotide long non-coding RNA. RefSeq lists it as uncharacterized. Lineage: Eukaryota; Metazoa; Mollusca; Bivalvia; Myida; Dreissenidae. The record is from RefSeq and is a predicted model, not a curated record. The transcript is spliced from 2 exons.
UAUUUUUUUUAUUAUGUUUCAUUAAUUUUUAUCUCUAAGUUUGAACGCGUAAACAGACAUUUUUGCAAGGUUUACCUUCGCAUAUAAUAUCGCUGAGUGUUCAUGCUUUGGUAUUAAGAUACAGGAAUGCCUGCUUCUUAAAAUACGACUAAAUCAGCUUCGCUCUUGGAAAACGGAGCUUAAUGCCUGUGCGUAAAGUGUCGGCCUAGCUUAGCCUGUGCUGUACGAGUGUCGAAGCCCAUAACACUUGCAUUUAUAUCCAAAUCUUCGCCAAAGCGGGAUAAAUUACGACGUGUUUUUUUAGUGCAAAUAUUCAUCACUUUCACACAACUGGAGAACAAAUGUCAUUUAUCUACUUGAACUAAUAAAGUAUUUUGGCGUCAUAAAA